UGAUUUUCCUAUUUGUUACCUGAAAACAAAGGAGACAUUCCACUGAAAACAUUGAAGUGUGCGCAGUACGAUCGAGGAAUCCAACAAAGCAUUAUAACCCUGUCUUCCAGCUUACAGGCCAAGGCUCUCGGUGUCUGGGGCAGUGUUAAUACCAUGGAUAGAGCAGAGCAUGUAACAUUUUUCUUUUGUUCUACAGGGAACCUUACUAAAAGCAUUUGAGACUGCGCUCACCAAAACCUCUAAAACACGUUAAGAAUAACAUGAGUUGAACAACAUUACCCCAGCUCACUGUGUGACCUUGUAGUUGCUUACCAGUUCCACGUAUUCUCCAGUGAUGUUCCCGUCAAACAUCUGGAACUUCCCUCCCUUUUCAGCUUCUAAUACAGCCGGAGAUUUGGAGAAUCCUUGCACCAACUAGCAACAAAACAGACACAUUAUUGCAGUCUAUGCUGUCACCCUGUGCACAUGGCGAGAACAUCAGGGUCUUCCGUGACCGAUGAGCACCACUUGACCAGUGAUGUAGUUGGGCUUGGUUUGACUUCUGUUGGACACAGAGCUUUUGCUAACAAAUAAAAUGCAAAGCUUUCUUCUUUAUAGAGGAGAGAAAGCCGUAUUAACCACCAAGUGCCGAUAACACCACGUGUGCCCAUCAUUGUCCCCGUAAGUUACUCGGAAGGCAUCCCUGGCCAGUGUCCCUGUUCCAUCAAAAACAGCCUGUGUUCUUUAUGAUGUAUCUUCAUGUUGUAGAGCAGUUUAAGAUGUUACUUACUUCUUUUACAGUGAAGAUACUGUACAGCUGUUCCACUGUCGUGUCAAACAGCUCUGUCAAGUGCAAAGCUACUGUGGGAAUCCUCACACCCAGUGCCACUGGAGAAGCCUGCAUCUCAGAUUAGAAAGGCAUUCAAGAUGGUGAGCAGAUCCAGAGAGAAUGGCAGAACAGCAUGAAAGGCCUCUGCUCCCCAACACGUGUUCCCAUGAGCACUCUACCUCUGCUCCAUUCCUAGGCUAUGGCUCAAUACUCUGCCCUGUUCAGAGGGGCCCAGGACAUGACCACGGGAAGAGAGACUACUAAACCCAAGUAAGACAACAGGGUGUUAACUGCACAUAUACAUUCCCAUUCCCCAAUUCUAGAAAGAAUUCCCCACACUCUCCUAAUGCCAAGCUUCAUCACAAUAUCUGACCUUCAGAGGCGCCAGCUUAACUGAAGCAGGAGGAUCAUCAUGAAUCUAAGGUCAGGCUAUUAAUAGUUUGGAUGAAAUGCAGGUAUUUCUGCAAGGCCUCAUCAAGAACUGGAACCGUGGGCUAAAGGUGAUCAGAAUCCUGCCCAGCACAUACCAGCCUGCACACUCGGCACCACACCUACCCACCCGGCACAAUACCAAAAAGCUGCACUUUGUCAUUUCCACAAAAAGACAUCAGCAUCUUAAGAGGAAAUGUGUGGAUCAACACCCGUUCCUCAUCUACAACCCAAGUUCAUGAAAAGGCUGUGGGGAACUCACUAAGGGUGUCGUCGUCGUCCGUCCGGUGUGUCGUCGUGUCGUGUCUCCCCCCCACCCCCUCCCCGUGCAGCCACAGGCUCGUACCUGCAAUGCGUUUUCAGUCAGUUUCCUCUCAAGAGUCAGGGCCUGGGUCGCUCCGGCUUUUGUUGGUAAGAUCAUUCCUGUUGUAAAUUCUGUAAGGAAACAAACUUUAUUAACCU
Molecule: long non-coding RNA, 1699 nt
Filed under: Rattus norvegicus (Norway rat)
Lineage: Eukaryota; Metazoa; Chordata; Mammalia; Rodentia; Muridae
Description: long non-coding RNA NONRATT009609
Source: RNAcentral